This 463-nucleotide RNase MRP RNA is filed under the name Verticillium longisporum. RNAcentral describes it as "Verticillium dahliae var. longisporum RNase MRP". It matches the Rfam family "RNase MRP". Rfam says of the family: RNase MRP is an enzymatically active ribonucleoprotein with two distinct roles in eukaryotes. The record is from Rfam by way of RNAcentral. Lineage: Eukaryota; Fungi; Ascomycota; Sordariomycetes; Glomerellales; Plectosphaerellaceae.
CCCUCGUCCAACAGAUCGCCAUUCGAAGCUCACAAACAGAGACACUCUCUGAGCGUCUCAACCCUCUUGCUUUGGGAGAAAGUCCCCGGACACGUCUUCUCCUCACGGAAGGACAUUGCGGAAACGCGCCGCCACAGAAGCACUGCGGCUGACCUCCCGGCCCUGUCCUCAGUCAGUCCUCCUCUGCCCUGCCCCGCCGCUACAUCGGUCAGGCUUUUCUCGCUCGGAGUCUAGUCGGGUAGCCUUGAGACCUCAUGGACGAAGAUAUGAGUCCGCGCUCUUGGCCGCUUGAUCGGAUCCUCCGUGAGAGGAAGGUCUGUUCGAUGGCGGGGUAGUCGUGGGUGUCGAUGCGUGCUGUGGGCGCCAAGGGGCCCGGGAGGGUUUUUCGUCGAGCACGAUAGAUAUGCGAUCGCCCGGCCUCACCAGCUGGGAGUACUCGAUGGGGCUCAUUCUUGGCGCGAGG